RNAcentral lists this ribosomal RNA (374 nucleotides) under uncultured organism. RNAcentral's name for it is "partial 16S ribosomal RNA". It matches the Rfam family "Bacterial small subunit ribosomal RNA", at positions 527 to 896 of the family's 1533-position model. The record is from RNAcentral.
GUAGGUGGCAAGCGUUGUCCGGAAUUAUUGGGCGUAAAGCGCGCGCAGGUGGUUCUUUAAGUCUGAUGUGAAAGCCCCCGGCUCAACCGGGGAGGGUCAUUGGAAACUGGGGAACUUGAGUGCAGGAGAGGAAAGUGGAAUUCCACGUGUAGCGGUGAAAUGCGUAGAUAUGUGGAGGAACACCAGUGGCGAAGGCGACUUUCUGGCCUGUAACUGACACUGAGGCGCGAAAGCGUGGGGAGCAAACAGGGAUUAGAUACCCUGGUAGUCCACGCCGUAAACGAUGAGUGCUAAGUGUUGGGGGGGUUUCCCGCCCCUCAGUGCUGCAGCUAACGCAUUAAGCACUACGCCUGGGGAGUACGGUCGCAAGACUG